UGAACGCGAAGAACCUUACCCGGGUUUGAACGCAUAUUGACAGCUCUGGAAACAGAGUCUCUAGUAAUAGCAAUUUGCGAGGUGCUGCAUGGUUGUCGUCAGCUCGUGCCGUGAGGUGUCGGCUUAAGUGCCAUAACGAGCGUAACCCUUAUCACUAGUUACUAACAGGUCAUGCUGAGGACUCUAGUGAGACUGCCAGCGUAAGCUGUGAGGAAGGUGGGGAUGACGUCAAAUCAGCACGGCCCUUACAUCCGGGGCGACACACGUGUUACAAUGGUGGGGACAAAGGGCAGCUACCGUGUGAGCGGAUGCUAAUCUCCAAACCCCAUCUCAGUUCGGAUCGAAGUCUGCAACCCGACUUCGUGAAGCUGGAUUCGCUAGUAAUCGCGCAUCAGCCAUGGCGCGGUGAAUACGUUCCCGGGUCUUGUACACACCG
RNAcentral lists this ribosomal RNA (436 nucleotides) under uncultured bacterium. RNAcentral's name for it is "bacterial SSU rRNA". It matches the Rfam family "Bacterial small subunit ribosomal RNA", at positions 956 to 1392 of the family's 1533-position model. The record is from RNAcentral.